GACGAACGCUGGCGGCGUGCUUAACACAUGCAAGUCGAACGGAAAGUCCCUGCUUUUUUGGGCUGCUCGAGUGGCGAACUGGUGAGUAACACGUGAGUAACCUGCCCUUGACUUUGGGAUAACUUCAGGAAACUGGGGCUAAUACCGGAUAGGAGCUCCUGCUUCAUGGUGGGGGUUGGAAAGUUUCGGCGGUUGGGGAUGGACUCGCGGCUUAUCAGCUUGUUGGUGGGGUAGUGGCUUACCAAGGCUUUGACGGGUAGCCGGCCUGAGAGGGUGACCGGCCACAUUGGGACUGAGAUACGGCCCAGACUCCUACGGGAGGCAGCAGUGGGGAAUAUUGCACAAUGGGCGGAAGCCUGAUGCAGCAACGCCGCGUGCGGGAUGAAGGCCUUCGGGUUGUAAACCGCUUUCGCCUGUGACGAAGCGUGAGUGACGGUAAUGGGUAAAGAAGCACCGGCUAACUACGUG
RNAcentral lists this ribosomal RNA (468 nucleotides) under uncultured bacterium. RNAcentral's name for it is "partial 16S ribosomal RNA". It matches the Rfam family "Bacterial small subunit ribosomal RNA", at positions 28 to 507 of the family's 1533-position model. The record is from RNAcentral.